RNAcentral lists this ribosomal RNA (400 nucleotides) under uncultured bacterium. RNAcentral's name for it is "bacterial SSU rRNA". It matches the Rfam family "Bacterial small subunit ribosomal RNA", at positions 358 to 774 of the family's 1533-position model. The record is from RNAcentral.
GGGAUAUUGCACAAUGGGGGGAACCCUGAUGCAGCGACGCCGCGUGGGUGAAGAAGUAUUUCGGUAUGUAAAGCCCUAUCGGCAGGGAAGAAAUUGGACGGUACCUGACCAAGAAGCCCCGGCUAACUACGUGCCAGCAGCCGAGGUAAUACGUAGGGGGCAAGCGUUAUCCGGAUUCACUGGGUGUAAAGGGAGCGUAGACGGCCAUGCAAGCCUGGAGUGGAAGCCCGGGGCCCAACCCCGGGACUGCUCUGGGAACUGUGCGGCUGGAGUGCGGGAGGGGCAGGCGGAAUUCCUGGUGUAGCGGUGAAAUGCGUAGAUAUCAGGAGGAACACCGGCGGCGAAGGCGGCCUGCUGGACCGCGACUGACGUUGAGGCACGAAAGCGUGGGUAUCGAACA